Molecule: ribosomal RNA, 128 nt
Filed under: uncultured Actinomycetes bacterium
Lineage: Bacteria; Bacillati; Actinomycetota; Actinomycetes
Description: uncultured actinobacterium partial 16S ribosomal RNA
Source: RNAcentral
GGUACCGUCAAUUUCGUCCCUGUCGAAAGCGAUUUACGACCCUAAGGCCUUCCUCUCGCACGCGGCGUUGCUGCGUCAGGCUUUCGCCCAUUGCGCAAGAUUCCCCACUGCUGCCUCCCGUAGGAGUA